This is a non-coding RNA of Peromyscus leucopus (white-footed mouse), 612 nucleotides long. The record is from the annotation of a RefSeq genome assembly. NCBI's taxonomy places the organism in Eukaryota, Metazoa, Chordata, Mammalia, Rodentia, Cricetidae.
CUCUGGGAUAAAACUCAGUCAUCAUCUUGCAGUGACUUACCAGUCUCCUCAGGCUUCCUCCUCAAAAUGAAGUUGCCUGUUUGGUUGUUGGUGCUGCUGGUGUUCAGGAUUCCUGCUUCCAGAGGGGAUGUUGUGAUGACCCAAACUCCAACCUCCUUGCUUGUCAGCCUUGGAGAACAAGCCUCUAUCACCUGCCGGUCUAGUCAGAGCCUUGUACAUAGUAGUGGGAAUACCUAUUUGAAUUGGUACCUGCAGAGGCCAGGCCAAUCUAUACAGUCCCUGAUCUACAGGGUUUCCAACCAUUUUACUGGGGUCUCAGACAGAAUCAGUGGCAGUGGGUCAGUCACAGAUUUCACACUCAAGAUCAGCAGAGUAGAGUCUGAAUAUUUGGGAGUUUAUUACUGCAUGCAGAGAUCACAUGUUCCUCCCACAAUGAUGCAGACCCUAACAAAAACAUACUUAGUCGGCAUGGUCCAGAUGUCAGAUGUGUUACAUAUCUCUGAGACAACGAGAGGUGCUGGCGAAAUCCAGGGAACAAGCAGCAUCAACAAACCAAACUUAGGUUUCCUGGACAAAUCUGGAGAGAGCAUGGUGUGGAUCAAUGCAAUGUGA